UACGAAGGGAGCUAGCGUUGUUCGGAAUCACUGGGCGUAAAGCGCACGUAGGCGGAUGUGUCAGUCAGGGGUGAAAUCCCGGAGCUCAACUUCGGAACUGCCUUUGAUACAGCACAUCUGGAGUCCGGAAGAGGUGGGUGGAAUUCCUAGUGUAGAGGUGAAAUUCGUAGAUAUUAGGAAGAACACCGGUGGCGAAGGCGGCUCACUGGCCCGGUACUGACGCUGAGGUGCGAAAGCGUGGGGAGCAAACAGG
RNAcentral lists this ribosomal RNA (253 nucleotides) under uncultured bacterium. RNAcentral's name for it is "partial 16S ribosomal RNA". It matches the Rfam family "Bacterial small subunit ribosomal RNA", at positions 524 to 776 of the family's 1533-position model. The record is from RNAcentral.